This 393-nucleotide ribosomal RNA is filed under the name uncultured bacterium. Its description in RNAcentral is "partial 16S ribosomal RNA". It matches the Rfam family "Bacterial small subunit ribosomal RNA", at positions 523 to 918 of the family's 1533-position model. The record is from RNAcentral.
CUACGGAGGAUGCGAGCGUUAUCCGGAUUUAUUGGGUUUAAAGGGUGCGUAGGCUGUGCGUUAAGUCAGGGGUGAAAUGCCGUCGCUCAACGACGGAGCUGCCCUUGAUACUGGCGUGCUGGAGUACGGAUGCCGUUGGAGGAAUGAGUGGUGUAGCGGUGAAAUGCUUAGAUAUCACUCAGAACACCGAUUGCGAAGGCAUCUGACGAAUCCGUCACUGACGCUGAGGCACGAAAGCGUGGGGAUAGAACAGGAUUAGAUACCCUGGUAUUCCACGCCGUAAACGAUGAUGACUAACCGUCGGCGAUAGACAGCCGGUGGCCAAGCGAAAGCGAUAAGUCAUCCACCUGGGGAGUACGUCGGCAACGAUGAGACUCAAAGGAAUUGACGGGG